AUGUGGAUUCUAGGACAACGUACAGAGUUUUCAUUCAAUAAGUUCUUCAUCUUCCGAUGCAAUUGAACUAGACAUGGCUAUGGUGUUUGUCUACUUGCAGGUCAUCCAUCGAUCACCCUCCAAUUCAAACAUUGGGAUUGAAGUCUAUUGUAAGUUGAGUAAUUUAUAUUCUGCAAAAUAUUAGUGUCAAAUUGCUUCUUUCCAUCCAAAUUGCCUCAAAUGACCUCUUAGAGACCGAGACGAUUUGCAGAUCUAAGAGGACUUCAGUGGGCUAUUGUUGUGAGAAUUUUCCUUCUUCUCCUUUGUCCUCUAUCCCGAUUGACUCCCUUAGAUUUUUUUUUACUGAAGGGCUAUUACAGUAUUUCCUGAGUCAAUGCUCUUCUGUUAACUGAUUCUGCACUUGUAUUUACUCAUUGAUUAUUUUUUAUCAAUUUCGUAGCAGAUAAUGGUACUAAGAACUUAAUGAGAAUAGAGAAAGGCUAUCUGAACAAAAUUUCACAAGAUAUGUUGUAUGGGUUAUAUGUCCGGAGUGAUAUAUUGCUAUGUAAGAAAUCGUUCAACUGGAACUGGACAAAGAAAGACGAUCUUGUUACAAGAAAAUGGCCUUAGAGGUAAUCAGCUUGAUCAAAGCAAACAGGUGUACCUCUUACAUGGAAAUAUCAAAGCAAACAUGUGUACCUCUUGCAUGGAAACACUAAGAGUUGAAUAUGAUAUCGUUGGCCCAGACGAGGACACACAGGUACCGCUUUUCUUUCUCACUUCCCUCUUUUUCCUCCUUAUAAGUGUGUAAACAUGGGAAAAAUGCAGGUAGCAAAAAAAAAUUUCUUUAUUGCUUCUAAUUGUUCUUUACUGGAUAUGAAUUUCUCAUAAACUAAGUUGAUCAAUUUAAUUUUCCUUUAUUCACUACUCAUAGGUCCCUCAAGUUGUUGGAAAUGAAACUGGUUUGGCAAAAUGUAGAAAUGAGAAACGAAAAUGGAAAGAGAGCGAGAGAGGGACAAUAGUACACUGCUGAUACUUCUAAUUUUUAUGAUAUCAUUUGUGUUUUUAAUUAUAUUUGCUCCUGUCAUGUGAGCACAAUUCAUGAGCUAUAAUCUUUUUUUUUUUCUAUAUAAUUGUGUCUCAUUUGCUAAAUUUUCAUGAAUUUCCGACACAAUCACUAGGGGAAGCAGCGUCUAAUGUUUGUUGUUUAUAGAUAACACAUGAUGUCUCUGAAGCUAAGAAUCUCAUUAGUCAGGUAAGCUUGUUAGAGGUGAAAAAAAGAAAGUAAGUUUAUUAGAAGGUAUGUAUGCGUCAAUUUGGUGAAGAAGAAUGCACAACAAUAUUACAUUUGCUUGUCCAGUUCUUGCGGACAACUUCUCAAAGAGACUUUCCCUUCAGAAGAUCUUGAAGCACCUGUGGAUAGUCAAGAAUGCUGAUUCGAAUGUAGAACUCUGAAAGUGACAUUUCUGGCUGCUCUCUCCUUGUAUCUUUUGACCAGUUUGCACCAGUUGAUUUUCAAUAUAACACAAAAUUUGACUGGAGAUCCAUGGUAAAAAUGAAAUUAUCGAAGUUGCAGGAAAUGAAGUCAACAAAAUUAAAAGUUCUUUGGGAAAGAAGCUGGAUUUGGUGAAUCUGCAGGAAGGCACAUUUAGUUACUGAAACACAAGAUGCAGUGAAUUUUCCUGUUGAAUCUAUAGAGUCUGGAAUGCAGAAUUGUGCCACGAGAAGAUGGCAACUAUGAGCAGAACUCGAAACAUUUCUACAUUGAGCGCUAAGAGACACGGAUGAUCGUUGGAUUAAGGCUAGUGAUCUGAUUGUCUGACCGACCUGCUGAGAUUACCACAAGUUCAUCCUGGACAGCGAAAACUAUGUCGAGGUAUUUUCAGUCAAAAACUGCAAAGAAGAAGACUAAAUACCGUAUGGAAAAAGCAUCACUGUUUGCCAAUAUGUAAAUAGUAUUAGAAUGUAAAUGAUUCUCCGACAUAUGAUGUAAAGAAUGUGACACUUUAUACUUUUAUGGAUGUAAAUAAUGUAUCGCUUGCCAACAAUAGAACAUCCAUUAGUGGAUAUUUUGUUCCAAAAUAUUAUGUGAAUAAUAUCCAGCUGAUUUGCAUCAA
RNA transcript from Nicotiana tabacum (common tobacco), 2096 nucleotides. RefSeq lists it as uncharacterized. The record is from RefSeq and is a predicted model, not a curated record. Lineage: Eukaryota; Viridiplantae; Streptophyta; Magnoliopsida; Solanales; Solanaceae.